UACGAAGGGGGCUAGCGUUGCUCGGAAUCACUGGGCGUAAAGCGCACGUAGGCGGAUUGCUAAGUCAGGGGUGAAAUCCUGGAGCUCAACUCCAGAACUGCCUUUGAUACUGGCGAUCUCGAGUCCGGGAGAGGUGAGUGGAACUGCGAGUGUAGAGGUGAAAUUCGUAGAUAUUCGCAAGAACACCAGUGGCGAAGGCGGCUUACUGGUCCGGAUCUGACGCUGAGGCGCGAAAGCGUGGGGAGCAAACAGG
Molecule: ribosomal RNA, 253 nt
Filed under: uncultured bacterium
Lineage: Bacteria
Description: partial 16S ribosomal RNA
Rfam family: Bacterial small subunit ribosomal RNA
Source: RNAcentral